AACGCGUAUGCAAUCUGCCUUGUACAGAGGGAUAGCCCAGAGAAAUUUGGAUUAAUACCUCAUAGUAUUAUUGAAUGGCAUCAUUUAAUAAUUAAAGUUCCAACGGUACAAGAUGAGCAUGCGUCCUAUUAGCUAGUUGGUGUGGUAACGGCAUACCAAGGCUACGAUAGGUAGGGGUCCUGAGAGGGAGAUCCCCCACACUGGUACUGAGACACGGACCAGACUCCUACGGGAGGCAGCAGUGAGGAAUUUUGGACAAUGGGCGCAAGCCUGAUCCAGCCAUGCCGCGUGAGUGAAGAAGGCCUUCGGGUUGUAAAGCUCUUUUGUCCGGGAGCAAAACCUGCCCACUAAUACUGGGCCGGGAUGAGAGUACCGGAAGAAUAAGCACCGGCUA
This 394-nucleotide ribosomal RNA is filed under the name uncultured bacterium. RNAcentral describes it as "bacterial SSU rRNA". It matches the Rfam family "Bacterial small subunit ribosomal RNA", at positions 112 to 499 of the family's 1533-position model. The record is from RNAcentral.